UAUGAUCAUAUCAUAUUUAUAAUAUUGCCAUUAAAUCAUAAACAUAACAUCAUAUGAUUUAAUCUAACAAGCUUGCUCUGAUACCACUGUAGGAUUUUGGUGUACAGAGCGAAAGCAUGGAUUUCAAAGCAUUUAAUAUGAAAUCAUAAACCAAAACCUAACUCCAGGAACACCUUAUUAGAAUUUAAACCAUAUUAAUAUGCAUUAAUAUCAGAAUAUAAGGUAUAGAAACAUACCUACAAUCGCUAAACCCUUAUUUAUGCUCGAUUGCCGGC
This 275-nucleotide long non-coding RNA is filed under the name Elaeis guineensis (African oil palm). RNAcentral describes it as "long non-coding RNA (EGUI_LNC066525)". The record is from RNAcentral. Lineage: Eukaryota; Viridiplantae; Streptophyta; Magnoliopsida; Arecales; Arecaceae.